RNAcentral lists this ribosomal RNA (604 nucleotides) under Variovorax sp. A-A7-19. RNAcentral describes it as "bacterial SSU rRNA". It matches the Rfam family "Bacterial small subunit ribosomal RNA", at positions 900 to 1504 of the family's 1533-position model. The record is from RNAcentral. Lineage: Bacteria; Pseudomonadati; Pseudomonadota; Betaproteobacteria; Burkholderiales; Comamonadaceae.
CUCAAAGGAAUUGACGGGGACCCGCACAAGCGGUGGAUGAUGUGGUUUAAUUCGAUGCAACGCGAAAAACCUUACCCACCUUUGACAUGUACGGAAUUCGCCAGAGAUGGCUUAGUGCUCGAAAGAGAACCGUAACACAGGUGCUGCAUGGCUGUCGUCAGCUCGUGUCGUGAGAUGUUGGGUUAAGUCCCGCAACGAGCGCAACCCUUGUCAUUAGUUGCUACAUUUAGUUGGGCACUCUAAUGAGACUGCCGGUGACAAACCGGAGGAAGGUGGGGAUGACGUCAAGUCCUCAUGGCCCUUAUAGGUGGGGCUACACACGUCAUACAAUGGCUGGUACAAAGGGUUGCCAACCCGCGAGGGGGAGCUAAUCCCAUAAAACCAGUCGUAGUCCGGAUCGCAGUCUGCAACUCGACUGCGUGAAGUCGGAAUCGCUAGUAAUCGUGGAUCAGAAUGUCACGGUGAAUACGUUCCCGGGUCUUGUACACACCGCCCGUCACACCAUGGGAGCGGGUUCUGCCAGAAGUAGUUAGCUUAACCGCAAGGAGGGCGAUUACCACGGCAGGGUUCGUGACUGGGGUGAAGUCGUAACAAGGHGCCGUUC